GAGAGCAGCAUGGGUGGUGAGGAGAUUGGGUGGGGGGAGCCUGGGGAAGCAGGGAUGUAGAGGUGGAAUUUGUAUCCCUCCUCUCUCCUUUGCCAUGGUAACGGGCCCCCACCCCUUAUCCUACUCUAAUCGGUCACUUGUGGGAAGAGAGUUUAGGGGGCGAAGGAGGCAUCCUCUGGCACUUAAACAGAAUAAGCACCUUAAACUCAAACUAAUGCACUUUAUUGAGAUGGGAUUUGAAUAGGUUAUUUCGUUCAUUUUUUUUUUUUUCUUUCUUUUUUUUUUGGGUGUUGAACACAGAAUCAGUGCCCAGGUGGUAUGUGUGUAUCACAUCUACACAAGAUACUGCGGGGGCACACUGCGUGUAUGAAUCAGAACUGGAAGGUUGAGGUGGUUGGUUGCUUGGUGGAAGUGACGGGGUGUUUUUGUUUUUAGCAAAGUCAGGGGGACCUUUAUUUUGAAAGACCUUAUCAGAAAACAAAUCCUUUCUUGAAAGACAAACACUGUUGAUAUUUUUUGUUUGUUUGUUUGUUUAGCCUUUUUAUAAAGAAAGACAUUUAUAUAAAAAGUAAAGCUAUUAAAAAAAAUUCUAAUAAAAACUUGAAGAUUUGCACUUGCGUUAAAAAAAGACAGAAAAUUACAACAAAAAAUUUCAACGAAUGGGGUUAGAUAUUGAGAUGAAUAUUUUUGUGAACGUGUGUGCGUGUUGAAUAAGUGAAAUUGUGUAAGAGUUUGAGUGUCAGCGGGCAGGUGUACAUCAGUAACAUGCCUGUCUGCACUAUGUUUUUCUUUUCAAUGCUUACCAAGAUGUAUGAAACAUAAGAGGCCAUUUUUCUCUUUUUGUUCAAAUGAUAAUUUUGUAAUUUCAUGAGUAGAAUGUGUACCUCUUUUGUAUCCAUGUUUGACUGUGUGUGUCUAAAUGUGAGUGUGAAUGAGCAUAAGAGAGUGACAGAGAGAGAGGGCAGGCAGGCAAUCGCACAACGCAUCCUUUAUCUCACCAGCUUUUCAUCCCCAGGUAAAUGUAAACAGAGAAUCAGACAUUUGUAAUUAGUAGCUUUGCUCCCUGUCAUGGGACAUGGGUUCACCCUCGCUGUCGGUUGGUUGUCUGGAUGGAGGGGCGUGGCCUCCUACCCAGCUCACCAUCUCCCCGCGGGCAACGUGUCCGGACCUCCAUGAGGCCGCCAGGGCGUGGGGCAAACCUCCAUGAGCUUGUGUGUGGGGGUUGCUGGUCUUAGAGGUGAGUGAUCCCUACAGGUACUCAUCUGUGUGUGUGUUGUUUGUGUAUGAAUGCACAAUUGUGCCUAAGGACUUUGAAAAAGAGCGUAAACGGCCAUUGAGACAUUAUCUUGAGGUUGAGUGAGUGAGAGACCAGAUACUAUUUCUAGUUGAACCUGGGGAUGGUUCAUUGGAAGGUUAGUCCAGCUUUUUUUUUUUUUUUUUCUGGGGUGUGAUCACGUUGCCUUUAGUCACCUCUCAAACUCGUGAAUGAAAGGUUUUGAGUUAAAGACUCAAACUAUUAGCAUCCAACUGUGCAAGUGUACAGGAAGGUGCACAAAAUGUUUGUAUGUCGUGUUACCUAUAUUCAUCGUUGCUGUUGAUGACUUUCAUUUUUUAUAUAUAUAAAUAUUAAUGAAAAUAUAUAUGAAUAUAUACAUUAUAUACAAAGUUUAAAAAAAAGUAUUUGAACUAAGAUUAUGUUGAGCACUUGGGGCUGCUAUUUCUGUUCAUUUUAAUCUUUUAUUUUUCCUUAAUUUUGUUUUUCAUUAUCGCCAUGUGAAGUGCGUUUGUAUUAUUUCUUAAGAAAAGAUUGAAUGUAUUCCAAAAAAACACAAGAACCGUGCUGAUACCAGAUUAUUUUUUUCCUUCUUAAAAUGUCAAAUUUAAACAAGCAAAAAAAAAAAAAAAAAAAAACUUUACAGAGAAGAGUUUAGACAUGUCUUUUUUUUUUACACAAAGGAGAGAAAAUAAGUAUCUCUUGGAUUGACACAGUUACACCCACUGCCUCUACAAUCCUGUUCCUGCGAGGACAACGUGACUAAGAAAAUUACAUAAAAAAAUCGAUUAAAAAAAACUCUUCUAUUCCUUACUGGAGGUUAGGUUGUUUACAGACCACAUGAAUUUUUGUGGGUGCAGGUUAGUGUGGGGUUUUCGAGGGGGGAGGGGGGGUGCUUGCAAGUGCUCUUCUGCACUGUGGACAAUGAGUGGCAUGUUGUUUUUUUUGUUAGUUUUUUGAAGAGCAAUGAUAUAAUCUGCAAUGUAACGGACAACAAGGAGCAUGAGGAGCGACAAAUCAAAGAUUGUCUCAACUUUUCUUUGUGAGAUGGAAUGUGUGGGUUACUUUUGUUUACCAGUAUUUUUUUUCCUUAUCCAUUCUGCUAUCUUCUUCCAUUGUUUUUUUUUUUGACUGCCUGUAGCUGAACAAGAGGAAGAUCGACUCUUUCUAUUGGUGGAAUUAAACAAAAUGAACGGUGUGGAUUUAGCUGGUACAUGGAAAUUGCAACAUCCUCGCUUUACCAAACAUGUUCUGGAUGCAGAGUUGAAUACUUUUCUUCCCGGUUUCCUCUUUUUGCUAACCUGGAAAACAAAGAUGGACAAAUCAUCGUGGCGUGGAUGAGAGAGAGGAGGAGCAAAGAAAGGACACUGUCAGGAUCGGAACUGUUCGUAUACAUAACCUCAAACCUACCAUUCAUUUACAUGUGAUAGGACUGUGUAUAGGCAAGUCUUGCCUUCCUUUUUUAGUGUCUCUUUUUGAACGAGGGGGGGGGGGGGGGUUGUUGGGGGUGCGGUUGGGUUGGUUACCAGGGAAACGGAGGGGUGAGGCAAGGGCCCCUUCUGCACCCCCCCCCCUCACACACUCACUAUGCACAUGUGUUCAUUCAAGCUGUGAUGUUCCAUUGCAUUGUGAGAACCAGAGCAUUACAGCAAGAUGGUUAAUUUGAGGAUGUGGACUUUAGUCAGUGUGUCUCACUAAAAAAGAGAUGUAAAAAAAAAACUUCUAUCAAAAGCAAGUAUCCUGGGGGGGGGAGGGGGAUAAGGGGAGCUCCGUAAUACCAUAGACUGAAGACCACACAGCGUUACCCGCCACCCCCCCCCCCCCCCUUGUGUCGAUAAACAUAUUUUUGUAUUCCCUUGCGUGUGACGUCACUUGGGACUCCCACUGAUCCAGGAUGGCCUCCUGACAGUGAAGGAGAGUCAGGAUGGGAUGGGUCUGAGGAGCAAGAGUGGAUGAUCCUCAAAGAUACAAUUUUUUUUUUUUAUAUAUAUAUACAUACUUGGGAGUUAAAUUAACUACUUGAGACUGGAUUUCUUUUAUACUCCCUUUGCCAGUCGUCCUGUCCCAAAAAACGGGGGCAGGGAUGAGGUGUGGGGCUGGGGGUACACGCAGCGACUCCCAAGACUGAACCCUGAUAGCGGGCAUGGAUGCCCCCCUGCCUCGUGCCCCGGCUGGCAAAACAAACACCAAAACAGGAGUCAGAGGAGAACGGGAGGGAGCGCAUGGAUGGAGGAGAGCAGCUCCAUUCCCUGCAGUGCAAUUUUACUACUGCGAAGGAGAACCAUGAUGUGGGGUUCCUGCUGUUGCCUGCAGCCUUUUGCCGUGAAGAAGAUCCGGGACCUUUGACCUUCCAACUUUGAGAUCCGCUGUGCCGGCGCUCCCGAGACACGCGUCUGCAGUGCAUUCUGGGUGCAAGGGCUUUUCCCUCAACGUGCGCAGCGGUCGAGGAAGAGGCUGCCCUUUGUGAGACUCCCUCCGCAGCCACAGAGAGACGGACCUUUCAGGGAGACCCCGAAGACCACGAUGGCAUGGAUGACUCCUGACUGUAGGGGGCCGCAAUCCAAGGCUGUUGCCCAGGAAUGGUGACUGGAACCUGGGGUGAAGGGGCAGGGUGGAGCCCCUUCCCUGGUGAAGAACAGGACUUCUUCUCAAACACACACACACACACACACACAUAUAUAUAUAUAUAUAUAUAUAGACGUUUUUACAUGUAGCUAAAAUGUGUAAAAUCAUUCCAAACACGCACAUAGAUAACAUUACACACAGGUCCCUUUCCUGAACACUCUAGACACAGAUGUGUAAAGAGCUUACAACUCACACACACACACACACUAUACAUUUAGCAGGCCUGAGUACCAUAUCCUUUGAGCCUUGUCUGCUUUGUAAAUAAUGUAAAAGUUGUUUUUGUCCUGUGGGGAUUAGGGUCUAUUUCUUUCAGUUUGACUUGCCUUAACUGUACAGACUUGUCCGCCUUGGUUGGCCAAUUCAAAAAGCUGUCGGUUUUUGAUUGGAGGGAAGUGAAGGACAUAUUACCAAACGGCAUCUCUUAUUGGCUGACAAGACCUGCUGUGUGUUGUGUGACAUACUAGCAUUCAAAUUUACAUUUUCUAAAUGUGUUCACUGCAGUUCAAACAUUAACCGAAACAUAGAACAGUAGGCAAUCUCUGAUGAUGGUGAUUGAUUAUGAUGAUGGUUUGCCUUUCUUUCUUUUUUUUCGAGAUGUUCUGAUUCCCAGUUUGAAAUGCCUUUACGUGUAGCUGCAGGUGCAGGAUGGGCGGAGUCUUCUGAUUGGAGCUGAGCUGAGCAGGAGGGGCUGAAUGACCACACUCUACCCUCAUGUCAACUGGCAGAAGGGGUCAAACGUACUAGACUUGAGAGCCAUGUUCAUGUUUGUCUAGAUCAGUGGUUCUUAACCCUGCCCUCAGGGAACCCCUGUCCUGCAUGUUUUAGAUGUUUCUUGGCUCCAACACAACUGAUUCAAAUGCAUGUUCGUUACCGGGCUUCUACAGAGUUAGAUAACGACCCAUUUAUUUGAAUCAGGUGUGUUGGAGCAGGGAAACAUCUAAAACAUGCAGGACAGGGGUUCCCUGAGGACAGGGUUAAGAACCACUGGUCUAGAUUCUACUAAACUGUUUGGGAAAAAUGGGCUGAGGUUAUUGAGCACUGCUCGAAAUGACUGAAUUUGCCAUGAAUCGUUUUAAUAUUUGGAUCUGAGAGGAGUUGACGGUUUUGUUCAAGAAUAAUUUUAUUAAGUAUUUAUUCAUGGCGGCUCACUUAUGACAUUUAAAUAGGUCAAAAUAUUGUGUUACUUUUAUUCCAUCGAUGCAGUUGAUGAUGGUUGUCCAAGCGGGUAUUUGUGACAAGCAGCAAUUCAGUAUUUCUCCACUGACACGAGUGAUAUUGUGUUCUAUUUCCAACAUGUUUCUCAGAGUAGAUAGGAGACUUGGUCUGAAACGUGUGUGCAGUCGGUUGUGACUUCGAAGGGAGUUUGACCAUCAUUGUCAAGAUACAUUUUUUGUGACUCACAUGGUGGCACCCUAUUUUGAAGUGGGCUUCAGUUUUUUUUUUCUCGUAUUUUUUAAAAUGCAGUCAUCUCUUUUAAGUGCCAUACUCUGAACUGUCAUAUGUGCGUUUCAUUUUUAAAAGGCGUCUUUGUUGUCGGAGAAGUCGGUGGUUAGCUGUCAGAAUGUCGUUUUUGUGUGUAUACUCGGCAGGUUGUCUAGUCUCAAACUGUCAGAAUGUUCCUCUGGUUUCCCAGUAGCUCCCAUCAGAGUUCCGUAGGGAUUGUGUUGUCAUGGCAGCGAGGCCCCUAAGGAAUCCCAACAAAAGCUUUUGAUUGAUGUAUGAAUUCAUGAAAUGAAUGAAUAUUCGACAAGUAGAUUUUGAUUAAAUGGAAAUGUAGGCUACUCUGUUAUCCAGCCCCAACCAGUCCGCUCAGCUCCAUUUUCUUUAAACUAUUUGAAUGUUUGUGAUAAUAGCAUACAUGUAACACAACAAAUGCAUUUGGGAAAAAGAACAACCUAAAGAAAAGUGUAAAUAGUUUGGUUUUUGUUUGUUUGAAGAUUGAAGAAAAAAAAACAAUAAAAUAAGCAUUUAAACCGUA
Long non-coding RNA from Osmerus eperlanus (European smelt), 5876 nucleotides. RefSeq lists it as uncharacterized. The record is from RefSeq and is a predicted model, not a curated record. NCBI's taxonomy places the organism in Eukaryota, Metazoa, Chordata, Actinopteri, Osmeriformes, Osmeridae. The transcript is spliced from 2 exons.